GAUGAACGCUGGCGGCGUGCCUAAUACAUGCAAGUAGAACGCUGAAGGAAGGAGCUUGCUCUUUCCGGAUGAGUUGCGAACGGGUGAGUAACGCGUAGGUAACCUGCCUGGUAGCGGGGGAUAACUAUUGGAAACGAUAGCUAAUACCGCAUAACAGUAGAUGUUGCAUGAUAUCUACUUAAAAAGUGCAAUUGCACCACUACCAGAUGGACCUGCGUUGUAUUAGCUAGUUGGUGAGGUAACGGCUCACCAAGGCGACGAUACAUAGCCGACCUGAGAGGGUGAUCGGCCACACUGGGACUGAGACACGGCCCAGACUCCUACGGGAGGCAGCAGUAGGGAAUCUUCGGCAAUGGACGGAAGUCUGACCGAGCAACGCCGCGUGAGUGAAGAAGGUUUUCGGAUCGUAAAGCUCUGUUGUAAGAGAAGAACGAGUGUGAGAGUGGAAAGUUCACACUGUGACGGUAUCUUACCAGAAAGGGACGGCUAACUACGUG
Molecule: ribosomal RNA, 497 nt
Filed under: uncultured bacterium
Lineage: Bacteria
Description: partial 16S ribosomal RNA
Rfam family: Bacterial small subunit ribosomal RNA
Source: RNAcentral